AACUCCAAGUUUGUGUAUCCCGGUCCACUCUACCUUUCCAUCAGGCAGUACAUGUGGAAAUGGAAAAGUAGUUCUCUAAUUAAUCAAAGUCAGAUCUGCCUGAACGCCUGGAGUUGCUGCUGAUCCUUGUCCCAGCUUCUCCCAUGUUCUCUCUCUAUGUUUUUACCUUGAAAACUUCUGCUCAGAGCUGGGAAUGCCUGAAGGGCUUGCACGCUAAAAUCCAUCAAUAAGGGACUGAUCCUCAACAAGAUCCAGGGUCCAGUUUUAAACCUCCUGUGUCUGCCGCCUUGACCAGCCCUUGUAUUUCUCCCCAGACGGGAGUAAGAUCCUGGGCUCUGCCUUGCAGUGGCUGCACAACCCUUGCCCUGCGCCACUCCACGUCCCCCGCCGAUGAUUUUCCAGAGCUGUGUGUGGCUUGCCUGAGCUGUAACACAGGGCAAGGCACUUAUGGCUUUGCCAGAAACAGGAAAAAAGCAACUUUGCCAACAGCAAAUUCUACAGGCACAACAAGGCAUUGAAGACCUGCCAACCAGAGCUCCCGCCCAGCCCUGGAAAAAGGAAAAGAGAAAGCAAGGCCAUCGUGGUGUGAAGCAUCCCUGGAGCCCCUUGCUGUGACGUGACAGGUGGCACAUCAGAUAAAGCGGAAUGUCAGAUAAGCGGAGGUUGAAAAAUCGAGACUUUUCUGUAUAGGAUUCCUUCUCCAGUUUCUGGGGCUCUGUUAUUUAAUUUGACUUCCCAUCAAGUGCCUCUUUUAGUUAUAUCUAGGUUUAGAAGAGGAAGAUUGAGGUUAUCCAGUAACUCUCCUCGACUGCAUUCACACAUUAAAAGUCCAGUCUUGACCUUCAGAUACCCGGCAGUGAGGGGAACGUAAGCUUCUUACUGCCACAUGAGUCCACUCCACAUUGCCCAGUCCUGAAGGGCACAGGAAUUGGGCCCACUAUGAAAGAUGGGCAAAGCUCAUUCUGCAGUUAGAACCCACACAAUUGUAUAGAGGUGUGAUGGUGGGGAGGGCUCAUACAAAUAAGUUACCAGCACUUUAGAAAAGCUUUCUGCAGAUAGUGCUCCUUUCAAACUGGGCAUAGGGGUCAUAAUUGUUACUCCAACACUAGCGACUAUAAUAAAUUCUGCAGAGCUGCUGGAGGGAGCACAGGAAGUGAAGGAAAGGACUGACAUUUAUAAAUCACCCUAGAUAAUCAAACAAACAAUAAAAAAUAAUAAACAGAUUGUUGGGUGUGGGUUAGACUUUCACUCACACACCAAUUGCCUAGGGAAGAAGGGACAGUUUACACCUGUUUCAGAAGUGUCAUCUGGAGAGGCUGGUUUUGCAUCAUGUAUCCCAUUCACUCUUCCCUUCCCAGCUGAGAGUCAGCCAGGGAGGAAUCUCCAACUGUUCCUUGGACAAGGAAUGUUGGGAAGGCACCACAUCCCCAACAUCUCUCCCCAAACUUCAAUUACCAUCUAUGCUCUGCAGGGAGAAAAAAUAUGGACUUUGGGUGUCACUGUUUAAAGAAGAGGAUCCUUCUUGGUACUCCAUUUGCCUCCUUGUCUGGAGAGUCCAGACAAAGCUUGACAGAUUUGUGGGCUUCAUGGCACAGAGGUUCUGUGGAUGUUCCGAGGUUAGUUCUUGUUAAUCCUAUGCUUUGACUGUUCAGGGACAUGCAGGUGUGUUUUAUGUUGCUGCUGCUGUUUUGGGGUGUGUCUACACCGCACCUCAGGGGUCGAAAUAAGAUACGCAAUUUGAGCUACACAAAUUACGUGUCUUAUUUUGAUCUUAUUUCAAAAUAGCUUAUUUCGAAAUUUGGCACUAUCUAAACAGCACAUAUUUCAAAAUAAAUUGCUAUUCCAAAAUGUCCCUUACUCCUCAUGGACUGAGGUUUAUGGGGAUAUCAGAAUAGUGAGCCUGUUAUAUUUCAAAAUAAUGGGCACACUCAAAAGAUGCGGAAUAGCUAUUUCAAGAUACUCCAGUAUCCCGAAAUAGUGCUUCACUGCAGAUGUAGCCUUAGAGACUUCUACUGGAAAGCAUGAUAAACAAAUGUGAGACACCAGAAUAGAUCCCCAUAUGGACUCUUUAAGUGUACUAAAAAGUGCUGUGUACCUCAAUACAGCUAACAGAAUUAGAAAUAAGGUACAUUUUAUUUUUAUUUUUCUGAAAAUGGUGCAAUGUCAUGCUUAUUUUGAUAACAGACCCACCACUUGGAUUUCAUCACUUAAAAUUAUGUCCCAGAACUUCAUAAUUUCGUACACAAUUACAAUUGCCAGAUUUGUAACUUUGUGAGCAAAUGACCAGUUAGACUUCUGACUAGACUUAAGUGUCUGCCAAUGACAAAUGUGCACACAAGUUGCAUGUAUAUACUUUUAAACAUUGAAUUAUGGAAAAUGAGUCCUAGCUCUGUAUGUAUGCAUUGAUGAAUGCAGUUAUCUAUCUAAACAACGCUGAAGCUAGCUGCACUGCCAGCUGACUGAGGAGCUUUUAAACCACUGUUGCUUUUCUGACUCUCUCAGCUGUCCAUGUGUCUUAUGUUAUUCAAUUGAUCUACAGUUGCUAGGAUCAAUGUGGAUCUCCAGAGAGGGGGAGAAUAAUCACCCAAAUUUAUCAGUCAUGUCAGAUAAAUGUCUACAACUCAGAGUGAACUCUUGUGAGUGGAACUGAAGACAGAAGUAAUCUGGAACUCCUUUGAAUGUCUCAUUGAUGUGAAAAUACAGUGAAGAAGCUCUAGUCUGGUGGUCCAAUUGUUCAGUGAAUGCAGACUGUUCAAAAUACUGAAGUUUCAACCAUUAAUCUACAGGAACAUAGUGAAUAGAGGGAUAAAGAAUGCUGGACUUAAACCACAAAAUUACUUGUUUGAGUUAAUGCUGGUUUUGCGAACCAGCAGUGGUAUGUUAGAACAUAUUUUGUGUGCACAAAUUCCCCUAUUAAAGCUUUUUGUGGAUUUCUUUGCCUAUAUUAGGCUACAGUUUGAAGGUGAUUUUCAAUUCCAAACCAUACAGCUUCUAGUAUUACUUCUGGUUCGUUUAAACAACCAAGUUCAAGUGAACCUAUG
Non-coding RNA from Pelodiscus sinensis (Chinese soft-shelled turtle), 3041 nucleotides. Lineage: Eukaryota; Metazoa; Chordata; Testudines; Trionychidae. The record is from RefSeq and is a predicted model, not a curated record.